This is a long non-coding RNA of Oncorhynchus tshawytscha (Chinook salmon), 1219 nucleotides long. Lineage: Eukaryota; Metazoa; Chordata; Actinopteri; Salmoniformes; Salmonidae. The record is from Ensembl.
CCCCAACCCCUCACUUACACCCAGUCUCAACCCCAACCCCUCACUUACACCCAGUCUCAACCGCAAACACAGCCCUACAACAACAACUCAGUCCAGUCUCCUUCAGAUAAUACUUAUCUGGGUGUGUCUAUAUCCAUACCAAUGUGCGUAGAUGGACAUUUAUCUUUGUGUUUGAGCUAUUUUCCUAAGUAUGUUUGGGCAUAUUUCACAUCUAUUGGAGUGUAUAUGUUGUCAGGAUGGAGGGGUCAGUUCAUCAUUACAGAUCCUCUGAUUGAAGGAGCGAUGAGGAGGCUGGUGACUGGUCCAGUCAGUUUGAUGAUGGGUUGUUGAACAGCUCCCUCUGUUGGUGACUGGUCCAGUCAGUUUGAUGAUGGGCUGUAGAACAGCUCCCUCUGUUGGUGACUGGUCCAGUCAGUUUGAUGAUGGGCUGUAGAACAGCUCCCUCUGUUGGUGACUGGUCCAGUCAGUUUGAUGAUGGGUUGUAGAACAGCUCCCUCUGUUGGUGACUGGUCCAGUCAGUUUGAUGAUGGGCUGUAGAACAGCUCUGUUGGUGACUGGUCCAGUCAGUUUGAUGAUGGGCUGUAGAACAGCUCCCUCUGUUGGUGGCUGGUCCAGUCAGUUUGAUGAUGGGCUGUAGACACAGCUGGUCCAGUCCUCUGUGAUGGUGACUGGUCCAGUCAGUUUGAUGAUGGGCUGUAGAACAGCUCCCUCUGUUGGUGACUGGUCCAGUCAGUUUGAUGAUGGGCUGUAGAACAGCUCCCUCUGUUGGUGGCUGGUCCAUCCUGUAUGGGAUGAUGGGUUGUUGAACAGCUCCCUCUGUUGGUGGCUGGUCCAGUCAGUUUGAUGAUGGGCUGUAGAACAGCUCCCUCUGUUGGUGACUGGUCCAGUCAGUUUGAUGAUGGGUUGUUGAACAGCUCCCUCUGUUGGUGGCUGGUCCAGUCAGUUUGAUGAUGGGUUGUUGAACAGCUCCCUCUGUUGGUGGCUGGUCCAGUCUGUAUGGGAUGAUGGGUUGUUGAACAGCUCACUGUUAGUGGCUGGUCCAGUCUGUAUGGGAUGAUGGGUUGUUGAACAGCUCCCUCUGUUGGUGGCUGGUCCAGUCUGUAAGGGAUGAUGGGUUGUUGAACAGCUCCCUCUGUUGGUGGCUGGUCCAGUCUGUAAGGGAUGAUGGGUUGUUGAACAGCUCCCUCUGUUGGUGGCUGGUCCAGUCAGUUUGAUGAUG